Non-coding RNA from Myotis davidii, 75 nucleotides. The record is from Rfam. NCBI's taxonomy places the organism in Eukaryota, Metazoa, Chordata, Mammalia, Chiroptera, Vespertilionidae.
GGUGGUUCUCGGGUGACACCCCCCGGAAUUGGACUUCCUCCUCUCUGGUUCCAGGUGCGUCACCUGAGAACCACU